UCUUAAUAUGCGAAGUAGGUUUUUUAUAUUAUGUUCUUUUCAUAUAUGAGCCUAAUUUAGUUCUUUUGAUUUGAUCUGGGAAUAAUUCGUGUGGGGACAUAUUGGGGAAUUCAGAAGAUGCGUGUGAUUAUAGACGGGUUUAAGAUUUUUAUUCUGCAAUUAUGUUAAGCUGCUCAUUGUUAUUUGUUUUCACUGUUUUUGUUACAGCCACCAUGAACCCUCUGAUGAUGAAGAUGAAGUGAGUAAAACACUUACCCUUUUCAUUAGCUAUUAGUGGAACUCAUUGAAUGCAUUGAUCUAACUUUCGACAUUGUUUUCAGAGUCAAAAAUCUGGGGUACUUCCUGCUUCGGAUAAGAAUGGCUGCAAAAUUCAAAUCUCAAAGACACUUUGGAAAAACCUGACGCGUCAAGGAUGAAGAUCCCCUAAACGACAAGUUGUGAAAAGCCAGAAGUUGUUUUCUGUUUCAGUGGUGCAGAGUGUAGACUUUAUUCUUCUGAUUCCUCAUUUGUUUUGCAUUAUAGUGGGUUGAAAAAUGUUUAUUUCUUCUUUAACAACAACUAGCAUAUCUUUAUUUCCGUUAAGUUAAUUAUAAAGAGAUAGAAUGAUCAAUUGUGAAAGAGAUAGAAAGACAAAGUCAACAAAGUCAUCUUUUUUAAAAUUCAAAGUCACCCGGAUCCAACCCAAAAUGGAGAGAGGGAGAGAGAGAGUAAUUUUAGUGAGAAGAUUCGGUCUAAUGGUAGAAAAAAAUGGUCCAAGUUAGACCAAUCUUUUCAGGAAUGAGAUUUCCUUUGAGCCAUUCAAUCUAAACCGGUGGUCUAGAUUGUUUUAUGGUGUAAAAUUGAGUUAAG
RNAcentral lists this long non-coding RNA (849 nucleotides) under Medicago truncatula (barrel medic). Its description in RNAcentral is "lncRNA gene24414". The record is from RNAcentral. Lineage: Eukaryota; Viridiplantae; Streptophyta; Magnoliopsida; Fabales; Fabaceae.